GCGUGCACAGUCCCCUGCUUUUGCUCUCUGUUCCUCGGAAGUGGCAGUUGCAUUUUUCUCCUCAUUUGUGCCACCUGUGCAAGCACAGAGAUCUUUCCCGUCGUUUAUACUUGUGCUGUAUUUCGUUCUCCAGGAGAUGUUUGUCCCGGUGCAAUCACUGCAGCCCCUGCAGCCAAGGGUGCCCGAUCCCAACCUGUCGGAGUAGGAGAGGCAGUGGAAAAUGCAAGUUUUGCAGGAUGAAAUCAGGAGUGACACGAUGUCAAGAUGAUGAAAAACUCCAAAUUACCUGAAGUUUAUUGGAGCAUCCUUAUAUCAUACACAUGUUCAAGAAAGGCAACUGAGGCCACCCCCACAGGACACCCUGGAUGAGUGGAGGAUCACCUCAGCCUGUCAUCUGGCCACUUCAGAGAGGCAGAGAGAAACUCCCUAAAGAAGCGGUCCUUGUGUGCCAACCAGCAUCCAGCAGGACCCACCUUACUCACGUUCCUGUGUGCUGGAAAGGCCCAGUCCAUCCAAAAAGCCGUUGCACAGCCCACGUGUCCAAGACCAGAGAUCACUCUGACUUGUUUCCCGUAUUAUGACAUUGCUGGUAAGUACUGUGUGUUUCACCUUUUAAGUGAUUUAAUGUCACAUUUUCAACAAAUCAUACCUUCUCCGGGAUCACAAUCCACUUGCGCAAAAUAGAAUAUGCAGUGUUGAGUCCUCCUCCCCACCUCUUUGCCCUGUCCACUCAGUCCUCUUUCCAAACGGAAAUCAGUGUUACCUGUUUCAUUGAAAUCUUUUCAGAGAUAGUUUGGGCAAGGAAAGUUGAAUGCAAUCCAUUUGCCUUUUCAAGAAGUAUUGCUUUGUCUCUGGUUGAAAAUUAAAAUGUGCGCAGGGAACUGCAUCUUGGACUUGUGAUGGAAAAUGUUGCAGGAUAGUGAGAAAAUGAUUAUAUGUGUAUAAUAUAAAUACAUAUAUA
RNAcentral lists this long non-coding RNA (961 nucleotides) under Sus scrofa (pig). Its description in RNAcentral is "lncRNA (ENSSSCG00070005311.1)". Lineage: Eukaryota; Metazoa; Chordata; Mammalia; Artiodactyla; Suidae. The record is from RNAcentral.